CACGUAGGGUGCGAGCGUUGUCCGGAAUUAUUGGGCGUAAAGAGCGUGUAGGCGGCUAUACAGGUCCGUUGUGAAAACUGGAGGCUUAACCUCCAGACGUCGAUGGAAACCGUAUGGCUAGAGUCCGGAAGAGGAGAGUGGAAUUCCUGGUGUAGCGGUGGAAUGCGCAGAUAUCAGGAGGAACACCAAUAGCGAAGGCAGCUCGCUGGGACGGUACUGACGCUAAGGCGCGAAAGCGUGGGGAGCGAACAGG
Molecule: ribosomal RNA, 253 nt
Filed under: uncultured bacterium
Lineage: Bacteria
Description: partial 16S ribosomal RNA
Rfam family: Bacterial small subunit ribosomal RNA
Source: RNAcentral